GGUUACUUUCUUUAUUGGUUUUGUUUUGAAAGCAAAAAUUUAAGCAUUGAUUUGCUUAGUAAUCU
Molecule: transfer RNA, 65 nt
Filed under: Nipponnemertes punctatula
Lineage: Eukaryota; Metazoa; Nemertea; Enopla; Monostilifera; Cratenemertidae
Description: tRNA-Ser
Source: RNAcentral